Mus musculus (house mouse) is the source of this 3260-nucleotide long non-coding RNA. RefSeq annotates it as predicted gene, 51866. The record is from RefSeq and is a predicted model, not a curated record. NCBI's taxonomy places the organism in Eukaryota, Metazoa, Chordata, Mammalia, Rodentia, Muridae. The transcript has 3 exons.
GAAUGGACAAACGCAGGCUGGAAUUUUAUUGUCUUUGAAGGUGCUGAUAUCCAGCGGAUUUAAAUUUCACAAAGAGCUCCAUAUGACUCUACGACAAUUAAUGACCCUCUCUGAAACAUAACACCAUCAGUAGGGAAAUAAUUGUAAACACAUCUGCAACCUCCAGGUGUUUCUUGAAGCAAUUGACCCUCCUUGACUUUACCUUUAGAGUGCUAAAAUACUAAUGCACUCGCCCCACCCCUUAUAGUUUAGAAAUACCGAGGCCCUCUCUGGUACAGCUACAGCUACAAGCUGAGGCUCAGGGCACAGCUCUGCUCUCAAACCAUGGAGAUACUCUGCCUGUUGUUUUUAAGUCAAUAUAAAAAGGAUGAGGGCUAUACUCCACUAUUUUGUUAUAAAGAUUUCUCUUUUCAGAACACAGAUCUUUUUCUGCUUUAAAAAUUGUAUGUCUCACUUAAGGGUAGAACUGGGAGUAGGAGCCCCAACUCACCUUAGGUGCUGUUCGGUACAGUGUGAGGGAAAAAGCGAUACAUUUAAAAUCAUGAGACUUUAGAGGGAAACCAAAGACCUACUCACUGUUGAAAACUGGGCCUUCAUUUGCUGAGGCCCAUCAUGACAGUUGUUCUCUUUGCUUAGGGCUCAUGCGUGCCAACCCACCAUGGCCCUAAAACAAGAGACCAGGACUAGAUACUGAAGACCACAUGCCUCUGGGAAUAAAUGUGUCACCCAUGGGGAACUGAGACGGGUUCUUACAAAACAACAAAACAGAACGCACAACCUUAUUUGUGAAGGUGUCAAUACUAUUUCCCAGCAAGGCUUCUUCGGAUGGUAAUGACUCUUUCCAUGUGUUUAACCUUGUCAGAAAUCUAAAGGCUACUUUAUAGUCCUUUCUUUCCCCGCAAGGACGGUGAUCUUCCAGCUCAGCUUUCCCCUAACAAUGCUCCCUCAGGAUCAUAGGAAACUAACUACUUGUAAAAAGAAAAUCGAUCUCCCCAUCUCACCCCCCUAUUCUAUAGUUUUUACGGUAUAUAACAGCAAUAAUUAACACUAAUUGUAUCCUUACUAAUAGCAGGCUCUCAGACCUACUGAGGAUUUUAGACCUUAAGUUCAGAACUGGGGUCUUGUAUAUGACAUCAAGAAUGGGUUAAUAGGUAAGAACACAAACUUACCUGUUCCUUUAUUUAAGACAAGGCUCCAUUGUAUAGAUCAUGCUGGCCUUGAACUCACAUACAGUCUAGGCCAGGUUCAUUCACUAACCUCCUUAGUUUAUUAGAAUUGGGAUUACAGGCCUGCCUUUGCCUGAGCUACCUUUCCAACCUUUCCAAUGCACAUGGGCUUCAAACGAGUGAGUAAAUACCCCAAGAGCUGUGAAUUUGGGACGUGUAAACACCAUCUCACCAGAAGAGGAAAGAAAAACACUAAUGGGAAAAGAGAUGAAACUGAAGGAAGGUAAGUGGCCCUUAGGAGAGAAACGAGAGAUAGGCUGCUUUGUGCCAAAUUCUGUUGGCGUGUGGUGUGGGGCCAACACUACUGAGACUAGAAGAGCCCGUGGGAGGGGACCUGUGAGAACUGAGUUCCCCUGAGAGGCUCUGAUUUUAGGCAGACAGGGAAUUUCAGGAGCUCAAAUGCUCUUGAGUGUGGAUUUCGGUGUGUGGGGAGAAUAAUUCCUAGACCACAGUGGCCACAUGCACCACAUCCAGACAUUAAAAAUACGGAGUUCAUUCUCUCAACAACCUUAUCUAUUUGCAGAUGAGAAAAAUGCAGGUUCAAAGAGGUUAUGUCAACAGCCCAAAGCCUCAGAGCUAGCAAGUGGCAGGUAUAGGCUGGCCGCCAGGUGGCCUGGCUCGACUGAAUCAGGUGUCACUUAGCAUCUUAUGUGCCAGAGAUGCAUGCUCUUCUCAGCAACCAUAGCCCAAACAGUCCCCACUGUCACUCAGCUCACAGUGAAAUGGAGAAGACAGCAGCAGCCAAGCACUCAGGCUCUUCGAGCUGACAGACAGAAGGACAGCUUACUGCUCUACUUGAGAACGGACUGACCAGGAAGUGGGUGGUAGCAGGGGCAUUUCCUCUGAGGACCCCAUGGUGGUUGUCCCUUUAGCUGAUUUUUAAAAAAGAUUUAUUUACAUUUAUUUUAUGCGUGUUUUACCUGCAGGUAUGUAUGUGUACUAUGUGCAUACAUGGUGAUCAUAGAGAUCAGAAAAGAGUGUUAGUUAAGAUCCGCUGGAGUUCUAGGUGGGUGUGAGCAAGUUGUCACGUGGGUGCGAGGAGCUGAACUCAAGUUCUCUGCAUGAGCAGUAAGUGCUCUAACCACUGAGCCAUCGCCCCAGCCUCUGAUUCAAUUAUUGCAAGGAUCCUUGCCUAACAUUUUCUUAUUGACAUGUUUAUAGCUUAUCUUUUCACUAUUGUGCUAGGAACUGCCUCUAACCCACCAGAGUGCACUGCCUGGAAGAAAGAGGAGCUGAGGAGACUGCUGAAUGGAUGACACAGAAAGUAACAGACACAGGCAGGAGAAAGAGGUGUGGCUUGAAGAGAAGUGAGCCAUGCAGUGGGGAUUUGUCCCUCUCCACGGAGAACAGACAGCCAUAUCUGCGUUUACUGACUUUAAGCCUCCCGGUGUUAGCCUGGCACACUGUAAGCCUGCUGCCUCGGCAAGGUUCAGGAAGCCCUCCGUGGUCUGCCUCUGCUGUGUCUUCUGCCUACUCUUAUGAUACUUUUCCUACCUUGUGCCUCAGGCUAACGCAGCACUACCAUGUCUGCGGCUUCCAGAAUGUUCUUCAUGUACGGUCUUUGCUCACCAUGUUCCCUCUGCCUCAGAAGCUGCCCUUACCUGUGCACACCCAGGAAAACCAGACCUCCUUAUCCUCACAACAGAACUCACUUCCCUGGCCUAUCAGGUAGAAAUGACCACACCCAUGGCUUCCUUUUUCAUUCUGCCAGCACAGUGCAUUGUUUAUUUCCAAGCCACCUUAAAGGAGGAGCAACCUUUUUAUCUCCAGCAAAAGCAAUCAAUAGCUAUCUAAGGCUAGGUUCAGAAAACAGCAACCAACAAGGAACCAGUGCGGCCACAUUUUCCUGCCUCUCAAAGCACACAAAAAGAAGCUGACAGCCUGAAUGUUCACCGAGUGCUUACAACGGGGUCACCUGAAACAAAUCUUUGUUCCUGUGAUCAGUGCUUCCGAGAGAAAUCUGGCAUUGGAUCUGAAGGAAAUGCCAUGGCGAAAUUUCCUAAGAUUAAUCACACAGGUAAGUAAUUUCCCCUU